Molecule: ribosomal RNA, 675 nt
Filed under: bacterium enrichment culture clone ADE_17
Lineage: Bacteria
Description: bacterial SSU rRNA
Rfam family: Bacterial small subunit ribosomal RNA
Source: RNAcentral
UAGAGUUUGAUCCUGGCUCACAUUGAACGCUGGCGGCAUGCUUUACACAUGCAAGUCGAACGGCAGCGCGGGGCAACCUGGCGGCGAGUGGCGAACGGGUGAGUAAUAUAUCGGAACGUACCCAAGAGUNNNGGAUAACGUAGCGAAAGUUACGCUAAUACCGCAUACGAUCUACGGAUGAAAGUGGGGGACCUUCGGGCCUCAUGCUUUUGGAGCGGCCGAUAUCUGAUUAGCUAGUUGGUGAGGUAAAGGCUCACCAAGGCGACGAUCAGUAGCUGGUCUGAGAGGACGACCAGCCACACUGGGACUGAGACACGGCCCAGACUCCUACGGGAGGCAGCAGUGGGGAAUUUUGGACAAUGGGCGCAAGCCUGAUCCAGCAAUGCCGCGUGAGUGAAGAAGGCCUUCGGGUUGUAAAGCUCUUUUGUCAGGGAAGAAACGGUCUAGGCUAAUAUCCUGGGCUAAUGACGGUACCUGAAGAAUAAGCACCGGCUAACUACGUGCCAGCAGCCGCGGUAAUACGUAGGGUGCAAGCGUUAAUCGGAAUUACUGGGCGUAAAGCGUGCGCAGGCGGUUUUGUAAGUCUGUCGUGAAAGCCCCGGGCUUAACCUGGGAAUUGCGAUGGAGGCUGCAAGGCUUGAAUCUGGCAGAGGGGGGUAGAAUUCCACGUGUAGC